RNAcentral lists this long non-coding RNA (543 nucleotides) under Salvia miltiorrhiza (redroot sage). RNAcentral's name for it is "long non-coding RNA (SMIL_LNC002571)". Lineage: Eukaryota; Viridiplantae; Streptophyta; Magnoliopsida; Lamiales; Lamiaceae. The record is from RNAcentral.
GCUGACUGGUUUUUCCUCACCCUCGCCACGUCUACUCCCAGAGGCUUUAUUGGGCCACUCCGGCCGCCAGGAUAAGGCUGCACGUCCAUCGUAGCGGAGCUCGAAGGCCACGCUGGUGGAGAUGCCGGUAGGCCUGCAAAAUAUUUCAAUUCCAUACAAAUCAUUAUAUACUCCAACCACACAACCAUUCAUCUCAACUCAACAACCUUCAUUUCAAAAGAUUUAUCCAUCAUCACUUCAAAAAUGUGCAUUUUUUCACUUUUGGAUAUUUAUUAUGUCACCAUAAAUUUUUUAUAUUCUCUCCAUCUACAUAGCGUAUUCAUCGAAAUUUAUUGGGCAAAACCUGUGCCAUAGAAAACAAUGCACAGCUCGAAGGCCAGCCGGUAGGAGAUGCGGUAGGCCUGGAUAGUGAACAUAUACGACAUCAUAAACACCAAAAGUGGAAGUGUUGAUGGAGAGGUCUUUGGUCCAAAACUUUUUGUAAAUGGAGAAGGCGGCAGCAGAUGUGAAAGGCUGAGCCAGAGGCACCAAAUUGAUGAGAAC